RNAcentral lists this long non-coding RNA (281 nucleotides) under Ananas comosus (pineapple). RNAcentral's name for it is "long non-coding RNA (ACOM_LNC031355)". Lineage: Eukaryota; Viridiplantae; Streptophyta; Magnoliopsida; Poales; Bromeliaceae. The record is from RNAcentral.
UGUAACUUAUCUUUUAUUUUAUACACAGCCACCACUCCGAGCAAAGAUUCUCCAACCGAGAUUGAGUCUCCACCAGAAACUAUUUCUGAUGCCCCGCCUUCUUCCUCGGUAAAAUAUCAUUUCUCUACUCAUCUUAAUCAUAAUCUUUUUCUCUGCUCAUCAUUUUUGUUUAUUUCUGUUUUCAGUCGAUUCCUGCUUCUCCAUCGGUCUCAGCUUCAGACAAAAGACCGAUUGAAGUUGUUCAAGUCACUCCCCCGCCGUCUUCCAAACGGCGUUAAUCA